RNAcentral lists this ribosomal RNA (494 nucleotides) under uncultured bacterium. Its description in RNAcentral is "bacterial SSU rRNA". It matches the Rfam family "Bacterial small subunit ribosomal RNA", at positions 791 to 1286 of the family's 1533-position model. The record is from RNAcentral.
UAGUCCACACCGUAAACGCUGUCUACUAACUGUGUGUGAAUUUAAUUCGUGCGUAGUGAAGCUAACGCGCUAAGUAGACCGCCUGGGGAGUACGGCCGCAAGGUUAAAACUCAAAUGAAUUGACGGGGGCCCGCACAAGCGGUGGAGCAUGUGGUUUAAUUCGAUGCAACGCGAAGAAUCUUACCUACUCUUGACAUACUGAGAACUUUCCAGAGAUGGAUUGGUGCCUUCGGGAGCUCAGAUACAGGUGCUGCAUGGCUGUCGUCAGCUCGUGUCGUGAGAUGUUGGGUUAAGUCCCGCAACGAGCGCAACCCUCAUCCUUAGUUGCCAGCAUUUAGUUGGGCACUCUAAGGAAACUGCCGGUGAUAAGCCGGAGGAAGGUGGGGGAUGACGUCAAGUCCUCAUGGCCCUUACAAGCUGGGCUACACACGUGCUACAAUGGCGAUGACAGUGAGCAGCUAACCCGCGAGGGCAAGCUAAUCUCUAAAAGUCGU